This 1491-nucleotide ribosomal RNA is filed under the name uncultured Eubacteriales bacterium. RNAcentral's name for it is "bacterial SSU rRNA". It matches the Rfam family "Bacterial small subunit ribosomal RNA". The record is from RNAcentral. Lineage: Bacteria; Bacillati; Bacillota; Clostridia; Eubacteriales.
AGAGUUUGAUCCUGGCUCAGGACGAACGCUGGCGGCGUGCCUAACACAUGCAAGUCGAGCGAUGAAAGAGAAGUGGCGGUCUUCGGACCAAAACAUUUCUGGAUUAGCGGCGGACGGGUGAGUAACACGUGAGCAACCUGCCUAUCACAUCGGGAUAGCCUCGGGAAACUGGGAUUAAUACCGAAUGAAACAUAUUGGUAACCUUAUCGAAAUGUCAAAGAUUUAUCGGUGAUAGAUGGGCUCGCGUCUGAUUAGCUAGUUGGUGAGAUAAAAGCCCACCAAGGCAAUGAUCAGUAGCCGGCCUGAGAGGGUGAUCGGCCACAUUGGGACUGAGACACGGCCCAAACUCCUACGGGAGGCAGCAGUGGGGAAUAUUGCACAAUGGAGGGAACUCUGAUGCAGCGACGCCGCGUGAGCGAAGAAGGAAUUCGUUUCGUAAAGCUCUGUCCUAUGGGAAGAUAAUGACGGUACCAUAGAAGAAAGCCCCGGCUAACUACGUGCCAGCAGCCGCGGUAAUACGUAGGGGGCGAGCGUUGUCCGGAAUUAUUGGGCGUAAAGGGUUCGUAGGCGGUAAUACAUGUCAGAUGUGAAAUCUUGUGGCUUAACCACAUCAAGCAUCUGAAACUGUAUAACUUGAGUGGAGGAGAGGUAAGUGGAAUUCCUAGUGUAGCGGUGAAAUGCGUAGAUAUUAGGAAGAAUACCAGUAGCGAAGGCGACUUACUGGCCUCUAACUGACGCUGAUGAACGAAAGCGUGGGUAGCAAACAGGAUUAGAUACCCUGGUAGUCCACGCCGUAWACGAUGAGUGCUAGGUGUCGGGAGUCAAAUCUCGGUGCCGUAGUUAACGCAAUAAGCACUCCGCCUGGGGAGUACGUGCGCAAGUAUGAAACUCAAAGGAAUUGACGGGGACCCGCACAAGCAGCGGAGCAUGUGGUUUAAUUCGAAGCAACGCGAAGAACCUUACCAGGACUUGACAUACUAGUGCCAAAUGUAGAGAUACAUUAUUUCUUCGGAACACUAAUACGGGUGGUGCAUGGUUGUCGUCAGCUCGUGUCGUGAGAUGUUGGGUUAAGUCCCGCAACGAGCGCAACUCCUAUGUUUAUUUGCCAGCAUUUUGGAUGGGAAUUAUAGACAGACUGCCGAUAAGAAAUCGGAGGAAGGUGGGGAUGACGUCAAAUCAUCAUGCCCUAUAUGUCCUGGGCUACACACGUGCUACAAUGGUCGUUACAGAGAGCAGCUACACAGCGAUGUCACGCGAAUCUCAAAAAGGCGAUCUCAGUUCGGAUUGUACUCUGCAACUCGAGUACAUGAAGUCGGAGUUGCUAGUAAUCGCAAAUCAGAAUGUUGCGGUGAAUGCGUUCCCGGGUCUUGUACACACCGCCCGUCACACCAUGGAAGUUCGAGGGGCCCAAAGUCAGCGAUCUAACCGCAAGGAGGAAGCUGCCCAAGGCAAAUUGAAUGACUAGGGUGAAGUCGUAACAAGGUAGCCGUA